Chlorocebus sabaeus (green monkey) is the source of this 3568-nucleotide non-coding RNA. The record is from RefSeq and is a predicted model, not a curated record. Lineage: Eukaryota; Metazoa; Chordata; Mammalia; Primates; Cercopithecidae.
CAGAGCAAGACUCCGUCUCAAAAAAAAAAAAAAACAAUGAAAAGACAAGCCACAGACUAUGAAAAAAUACUUGCAAACCAUAUAUCUAAUAAAGGACUUGUACCCACACUAUGUAAAGAACUCAUAACUCAUUAAUAGAAAAAGCUGAAGACAAUUCACGCAAGAAGAUAUACAAAUAAGCACAUUAAAAUGGCCAAUAUUAUUAGUCACUAGGGAAAUGCAAAUUAAAGGCACAAUGAAAUACCUAUUACACACCCACUAGAAUGACUGCAAACAAUAAGACUGAUAAUUCCAAAAUCUGACCAGGAUAUGGAGAAACUGCGAUAUGUAGCUUCCUACAUUGCUGGCAUGACUGCAAAAUGAUACAGCCACUUUGAAACACCAUUUGGCAGUUGCUUAAAAAAAUGAACAUUCAAUUACCAUAUGACCCAGCAAUUUCACUCUUAGGUAUGUAACCAAAAUACAUGAAAACAUGGAUCUGCACAAGGUCUUGUAUACAAAUGUUCAUAGCAACAUUAUUCAUAAUAACCAGAAAUUAGCCCAUCACCUGAAAAGUAGAUAAACUAAAUGUAUAUCCACAUCAUGGAAUGCUACUCAGCACACUUCUAAAAAGCAGCAGACUACUAACACAUGCAACAACAUGAAUGAACCUCAGAAACACAAGUGAAAGAGGUCAGACACAAAAGACUACAGAUUGUAUGAUUCCAUUUAGAUACCAUUUCUACAAACCGUAAAACUGCAGAGGCACGAAACAGAUUCAUGGUCUCCUGCAGCUGGGGAUGGGAGUGGGAAGAGGGAGCAAACAUUUUGGGAUGAUGGAAACGUUCUAAAACUGGAUUGUGAUUUUGGUUACAUAACUAUACAUUUACUAAAAUCACUGAACAGUACACUUUUACUGGUAAGCUUUAAGGCAUGUGAAUUAUACAUCAAUAAAGCUAUUUUUUAAAAAAAGAGAGAGCAAGAGCUACAUGGCAGCCCCAGGGCAGUAGCUCUCAGAUCUCCCUUAGAGAAAGAACUAUCUCUUCCACAGCGAUGAGUGCAGGUAGCUAACACUCUCCAACCUGCAUCUGGUAGUUCAUUUGAGAUCGACCUCGGCUUUCAAGUUAACGCCAUGCUCUUUCUUGGCAGUCCCCAGCCAAGAAGUGGGCACAGAAAGGCACAGGGGCCUGGCUGAUUCAGCCCAACAUGAGGCUCCUCACCCUAGAACUCCCUGUGGAGUUGGCCGAGCCCACAUGUGACCUGUAAUGUGGUCUAAGCUGUGAGACCACCACAGUGCGGGAAGGUUUUCCAUAUCUCAGCCUGCUUCUACUCCCUUUUAUUUUUCCCAGGAGUCACCCUUGGUCAUCUCUUACUCUUUGAACUCCAUGUCAGUGUCAGCUACCCAGAGGACCCAUCAGACAGAAAGUAAUAUGCAGAUAACAGCCCAGGGGAAUCUGAGCAGCACCCUGAAACCAACAUUUCCUCAGUGAAACCUAGAACAAAAGUGGAAUAAAUAAAAACUACUAACAGUCUCAUUUCGGCACUGGCAGUCUCACUCUGGAAUCUGUGUUCAUGCUCCCCAGGCCUAUACUACAAGCUCAUUCAGCCAUAACAGGGCAACUGUGAGGCUGUUGGAUGGGAUGAUGUUGAAAGUAAAUGCUUGGUGCCACCAACUGAAAAUAGCACUCAGGCAAAAGUUUUCUCAGCAAGGCAAUUUACCUUUAUAGAAGUGUGCAUCUCACAGAUGGAACAAUGGCAAGAGCACACUGGACAAGGGAGGGGAAGGGGGCCUUAUUCCUAACACAGCUAGCCCUACUGCUAUAUUUUUCCCCUAUUUACUAGGGUUGGACUGCACAGUCUACGCUAAUUCCGAUUGGCUAUUUUAAAGAGAGCAGGGGUGCGAGCCAGAGUGGCAGGACGGUUAGAGAACAGGUGACUAAGGAUGACUAAGGACAGAACAGGUGACUAAGGAUGACUAAGGACAGAACAGGUGACUAAGGAUGACUAAGGACAGAACAGGUGACUAAGGAUGACUAAGGACAGAAGAGGUACUGAUGACAGAGCAGGCGACUAAGGACAGAGCAGGUGACUAAGCACAGAAUAGGUGACUAAGGAUGACUAAGGACAGAGCAGGUGACUAAGGACAGAACAGGUGACCAAGGACAGAGCAGGUGACUAACGACCAAACAGGUGACUAAGGGUGACUAAGGACAAAGGUGACUAAGGACGCAACAGGUGACUAUGGAUGACUAAGGACAGAACAGGUGACUAAGGACAGAGCAGAUGACUAAGGUUGACUAAGGACAGAGCAGGUGACUAAGGACAGAGCAGGUGACUAACAAUGACUAAGGAUAGAACAGGUGACUAAAGGUGACUAAGGACAGAGCAGGUGACUAAGAAUGACUAAGACCAGAGCAGGUGACUAAAGACAAAACAGAUGACUAAGGACAGAGCAGAUGACUAAGGAUGACUAAGGACAGAGCAGGUGACUAUGGAUGACUAGGCACAGAACAGGUGACUAAGGACAGAGCAGGUGAUAGAGGCUAGGAGGGAGUUGUUUACUGAAACUAGGGGCAAACAGAUGUAAAGAACGAGAAAGUUAAACUUUAAAGUGGAGAACAAAGAACAGCCGAACAUCCUGACACAUUGGUUCUUUGGAGAGGAACUCAGAGAACUCAUUGUACUUAACAAUUUUCUCCCUCUUAAAUUUUAAAAGACAGGAACAGGCUAAACUUUGAAGAGGAAUUUACUGCAUCCUACAGAUGACAAUUAAUGAUCAAUCUUGCAAUGUUUACUGAGGUCACUAUCCUCAGUGCUAUACGUGUUCUGUGUCCCAUUGACUUCAGGGUAACUACAUGGUCCUUAAACUUAGAAUCAAAGUAUUUCCAUGAGACCUUCCUUAAUAGACAUUUGUUCUCAGCCUUCUUUCAAUAGCAACAUCCUUUGUUCAAAUGAGGAUGCACAAAGAAUACAAUAGGUAAAAACAUGGUAUCAGGACUGCUCUCAUUAAGCUGGCGUGGGAGGUGGUCACAUGAGGGUUUCAGAUCCUCACCCAAGGAUCUCAUCUUUCUCUGCACAAGGGUAAGCUGCACAGUGCCUUUGUAGAUACUUCUGAGAUUGCCUGAAACUUGCUGGUCUGGCUCAGUCUCUCCUAUCACUGACAAAGAAGCCAAGACCUCGAAAGUCAUGCCACCCAUGAGCGGUAACUCAUGCAAAGAAUCGCAAUACCAGAACUCCUGACCCACGAGGCUUCCUCUCUGUGCCCCCAAGAUGUCCCAAACCGAAAUGGUAUAUGCACGACGGAGAACUUAGAUCAAACUCGGAAAACGUCUUCAAAAGUGAAACGCAGCACAUUGCAGAGACGUCACAAAUGAGACUUCCCUUGACGGUCCCUGAGAGCAUCUUUGUGUUCCUUGUAGCUGCUCCCAUUAUUUUGGGCAGACAUUGGCACAGUCUUUGAUGAAACAUUUUUCACCUUGAGUUACAGUAAAUGUUAUCUCAUGUUUUUGGAAAUGCCAUCCAAGGACUUAAGAGAUAUCAUUGCUAGAUAAUUGUUUAUAAUCAUGCCCCUUAUAAUUUCAUUUGAAGA